This is a small nucleolar RNA of Hibiscus syriacus, 107 nucleotides long. NCBI's taxonomy places the organism in Eukaryota, Viridiplantae, Streptophyta, Magnoliopsida, Malvales, Malvaceae. The record is from RefSeq and is a predicted model, not a curated record.
AAUCUAUGCAUAGGACACUUCCAUAGCAAUUCUUUAAAUCUUUCCCAUGCUUCAUACAAGGUUUCAUCUUCCAUCUUAUUUAAUAAAGUUAAAUUGUUUCGAAGCUU